Molecule: ribosomal RNA, 253 nt
Filed under: uncultured bacterium
Lineage: Bacteria
Description: partial 16S ribosomal RNA
Rfam family: Bacterial small subunit ribosomal RNA
Source: RNAcentral
UACGUAGGGUGCAAGCGUUAAUCGGAAUUACUGGGCGUAAAGCGUGCGCAGGCGGUUAUUUAAGACAGGCGUGAAAGCCCCGGGCUUAACCUGGGAGGUGCGCUUGUGACUGGAUAGCUAGAGUACGGCAGAGGGGGGUGGAAUUCCACGUGUAGCAGUGAAAUGCGUAGAGAUGUGGAGGAACACCGAUGGCGAAGGCAGCCCCCUGGGCUAGUACUGACGCUCAGGCACGAAAGCGUGGGGAGCAAACAGG